UACGUAGGGUGCAGGCGUUAAUCGGAAUUACUGGGCGUAAAGCGUGCGCAGGCGGUCUUUUAAGUCAGAUGUGAAAUCCCCGGGCUUAACCUGGGAAUUGCACUUGAAACUACGAUGCUGGAGUAUGGCAGAGGGAGGUGGAAUUCCACGUGUAGCGGUGAAAUGCGUAGAGAUGUGGAGGAACACCGAUGGCGAAGGCAGCCUCCUGGGCCAAUACUGACGCUCAUGCACGAAAGCGUGGGGAGCAAACAGG
This 253-nucleotide ribosomal RNA is filed under the name uncultured bacterium. Its description in RNAcentral is "partial 16S ribosomal RNA". It matches the Rfam family "Bacterial small subunit ribosomal RNA", at positions 524 to 776 of the family's 1533-position model. The record is from RNAcentral.